UAGGGAAUCUUCCACAACGGGCGAAAGCCUGAUGGAGCAACGCCGCGUGUGUGAUGAAGGCUUUCGGGUCGUAAAGCACUGUUGUAUGGGAAGAACAGCUAGAAUAGGAAAUGAUUUUAGUUUGACGGUACCAUACCAGAAAGGACGGCUAAAUACGUGCCAG
RNAcentral lists this ribosomal RNA (163 nucleotides) under uncultured bacterium. Its description in RNAcentral is "partial 16S ribosomal RNA". It matches the Rfam family "Bacterial small subunit ribosomal RNA", at positions 355 to 511 of the family's 1533-position model. The record is from RNAcentral.